Long non-coding RNA from Carassius gibelio (silver crucian carp), 1109 nucleotides. RefSeq lists it as uncharacterized. The transcript has 2 exons. The record is from RefSeq and is a predicted model, not a curated record. NCBI's taxonomy places the organism in Eukaryota, Metazoa, Chordata, Actinopteri, Cypriniformes, Cyprinidae.
CUGACCACACAUCAAUUAUUAAUGAGCCCUGACCUGAUAAUAAUCAUAUAUGUUGGUUUAGCUUGUCAGUGUGAAUUAAAUCCAAGUAUUUAUUUGUAUUUUAACCGAUUUAAAAGUGAAACCAAAAGACAGUCUCCUCCCUUUUUUAGUCCGGUAACUGCACCUGUAGGGGCGCUAUUUCUCUCAGACAAUGGAAGUCUAAGCACACACACUCAAACAGAUGGACAGAGUGAGAUGAGAUGUCUGACAGUUUUUUAAUUUUCUGUUAUCCAUACAGUGUUGUAAAGUCAUGAAACUAUGCAUAUUUACUCAGAAUAACUUUUUUUCUGUAUGAAAAAAGGUUUUGAAGUGUUUGGAAUUUAAAAAUGCAGGAAAAUUAAUAAUUCCAUCUUUAUUGUCAUUUAAAAAAAUCACCACGACAAAACCAUCCAAGCUAUCCAAAACCCAUUCACAAUUUAAGUUCCUCAAUGUUUUUUCAACAUGUACACCAAGUUUGGUGUGUAUAGUGUUACUCUCCUCUGAGCAGUAUGCAUUAAUUCACAGCUAAAUGUAAAAAACAAUCCACAUUCAAAUCAAAAUAGCCGACUUCCUGUUGGUCGUAGCUGAUGACUGUGAAUUAGAAAGUUGUCCGUCUUGAUAAGAAAAAUUUUUGUACCGAGUUUGGUGUCUGUAGCUAAAACUAACCCCCCCACUUUUGACAAAAGGUGGCGCUAUAGAGUGCCUCUUCCACGCCCUCUUAUGAACUUUUGCCAGUGUCUAGUUAUCAUAAAUACUGAUAUGUGUUCUGAGUUUGAUGAAAUUCUAAGCAUGUUAUAUGCCUCAAAAUCACCUGAGAAGUAGUCCAGUUUGACAUGUUGCCACGGCAACAAUAUUUUUAGAUAUCAAUAUCCCCCCAGCAGAUUUAUAUCGGCUGUGUUUUAACAUUAUUCUGAUGAAGUUUGAAGCUAAUCGAGUAAAAAUAAGUUGCUGAAAUCAAAGCAUUUUGAAAAUGACACACUUCCUGCUGCCAGUUGGUGGCGCUAUAACUUUGACUCCUAAUAGUCACAUAUAUGCGAUCGACCUCAUACAAUGAAUAAUCUGAUGAAGUUUGAUUAAAAUCAGGAAAUGUA